CCCCAGACAGGAAGUGCCGCGCCGGCGCUCGCCGCCGCCGCAGCGCGGGGCCGCCCGCGGGCGGGGGAAGCGGCCCGGGCCCCGCCGCUCGCUCCGCGCCUCGGGGCGCCACCACGGCCCCGCCGCCCCCGCUCCUCGCCCGGCCCCAGGCGCUGAGCUCCGAGCGCGGUCCGGCCCCAUCCCGUCCCACCCGCGCCCCGUUAAGCCAGGACUAGAAGGACCAAGAAACCCCUUGCCGCCCGGAGCCUUCCCCGCGCGCAAGAGCUUCGCGGUCCCGUUAGGAGCAGGUGAACGGCAGCACCGCAUCGACCCGGCAAGGAGCCUCGCUUCCCCCCUCUCAAGGUCCAGCAGCCCUAAGAGCCGGACCGCAAGCAACAACGUGGAAGCAAAACAAUAUCCAGCACGAAUCACCUCCAGCUUUCGACAGAUCAUGCUCCUACUACCCCCUCAAGUCUUUUUAGAAAUACAGCUUACGUGUCUGUAAAUAUGGCCAUUAAAGUCAGGCAUUUUGUAGACUUCGCUGAUCUAUUCCUAGCUGUAAGGAAUUAAAUUUGUUCAUCGCCUCAUCAGAUAACAAGUGAUACCUGCAAGCAAGACCGUUUGUUCUCACACUCAAGCCAUGAUACAUCUAAAUGUAGAUCCGCGCUAAAGUUUCACCAGCCGAGCUCUUCCCAGCCAGAUGCAUGCACAAAAAAAGCACUCUCCAGCCAGCUGUGGCGGCACAGAGCUCUCAUGCAGACACAGCUUUGCCAACAGCAGCGUGCUCCUGUCAGCUUGUGCUAUUCACAGAGGUGGAACGGGCGUGCUAACAAGAAUUCCGUCUGUCAGUGGAUUUCCACUAGAGGACUCUGCUGUGUUCUGCAGCAGAAGUUGUUCUAGUGGAGAGGAGCCCAAGGGCAAGUAAAGGCACUUUAAGUAGGCACACGCUUGAAUGUGCAAUAAAGCCUCAUCGCCCUUCAUUAAAACACCCUCAAGUCGAAGGGGAAACCCUCACGCAAUGUAGUUGAGCCACACUGUAGAUUCAGCUUAUGAACCCAGUACUGAAUUAACUGCGUACUCACGUCACUUUGCCCUGUGUACCUACUGCUGUUAAAAAAUCAUAUUUUACCCACACUUCUCUUGAAGCAGUUAGGUCUGCAGCAAUAAAAGACAGAAAUAGUUUGUCAAGCUUAGAUCCAGAUCAAAAGCCGCACCGAGACACUAAACACCUUUGAAGAUCCAGACCUGUGUCAGUGGGAGCUCACAGCUACAUACUUUGGAAAAGAUGCAUUCAUAGUUUGCUGCCAUACUGUAACUCAGUGAGCAUUGUUUACUGAUUGCAACUCCCAGUCACAAACCAAAGUGUUUGACUCAUAUCCAAGUCGUUCUCUCUACCCCCUACAGGUAGAAUGAAGUUUUGCCAAAGCUAUGAGAACUCCUUGAAUAAGUAUAUUCAAGUAAUCUACAUGUGUAAUUUUUGACAAACCCCAUGUGUCCAAAAUGAAGAAUAAUAAUUUAAAAAGAGUGUAAAACAUCCAGCUCUUGGUUCAAUAUCAGCCUCUAAGCGGCAUUUCUUUACUACUGUGAGCACAGACUCUGCACAGUGUUUGCCAAUUCACAUGAAAUGGACUCUAACAGCUGCACACAUUAUUCUGAUUCUUCCCUCUCUCUGAUCAUACACAGGGAGAGUAUCAUUGGAUGCCCAAGGGAUUCCAGUCAGCGGAAAAAAAGGCCAAGCCUCUGCACUUUCAAGAUUAUAAUCUCAGCUGUCAAGAUAGCCAGGUAGACCCUACAUGCUCAUCGCAUGCUACAUCUAUGAACUGCCAGGAAAAAAAAAAGUCAACAUGUUCUAAUAUGCAGGAAAGCUACCAUUCAAAACUACGCUCGUGGCACACAGGAAUGUAGCAAGGGUAAGUCUUAAGUAAUUUCAAGACAGUAACAAGUAAUUGCACUUUUAGCUGACAGCACCUCCAUCCCUGUGAACUUCAGAGUCUUUGGUAGAUAAGGAACUUGGACAACCUGAACACCCAAGUGAUUUGUCCCCAUACUUGUAUCAACACAGGAGUAAAAUACCUAUCAACUCAUGCUUUCUUGUUACAGGAUACAGACAACUUUGUUCACAUUAAAGGAAAUAAGCUUCCCUUCUUGUCUGCAAUAUACACCUGUUAAACUUCAUCCCGAUUAUUUUUGAAAAAAGUGAAAGACAACUCGAGAGAAGCAGCUGGAUGGGAUUAACUGCAUGCAAGACAGCAGAUGCAGAAAUUCAAAAUGUGAAAACCUGGAAGGUUUCAGCAGAUUUGCAAAAGUGGAUGGGAGUGGGAUCAUCAAUUAUCUUAAGCAUUUCCUUGAACAGUCCUAAAAACUACCACAGCAUUCAGUGGUUAUGGAGUUACUGUCAGCCGCCUCCCCUCCCAUAGCCUCUGCGCCAAGUUGCCUUCCCACAAUUCUGACAAAUACACUGAAAACAUGCUCCGGUAACAGACCAUAGUUUCGCUUGGAAAACUAUUUCAUAAGCUUUGUAACUUGAAACACUAAAAGUACAACCUUCCAAUGGCACCUUUUUCCUUCACUGACAGCAAAUGAUGAACCAGAAAGAAAAAAACCAUAUAUUUAACUACUUUUAGCCACAGCAGAUUCCAGCUGUAUUCUACCAUGAUAAACCUACUCUGGGAAAAGGCAAUUGUCAAAAAGCAGUUAAGCAGUUACUUAUUCUUACAGAGGUGAUUUGUUUAACUUCAGUUAUGUAAGUAGUCAAGGGUAGACAGCAAUCUCUGAGGGUAGUAUUUGCAGUCUACAUGAGAAAUUGCAAAUGGUAACAGGAAAAAUAAUGAAUUGCCAACCGAACUGAAAAGCUCCGAGUAACUUCAGAAGUCCAGGCAUGCCCUGUCCUUGAGUGGCAAAACUGCCUGCAAAUUUUAAAUAGUUACAGAAAGUUAGUUUUGCCUAGGACCCUGAAAAGAAAUUAACAUCUAAUAAUUACAGAAGUAGUCACUGUCCUGAACAGCUAUCAAACUGUUGGUAGUUAUUACUGCAUUGCAAGGGUAACGAUACAAAGAAACACUUUUAACAGUUAGAUUCCAGAAACACGCAAGAAGAUGGAGCAGUCUCCUUUAUCAGCACAUCAGCAUAAUCAUUACCUUCCACUGUGGAUUCCAGCAAAAGUAAUAGCAAAAUAACCACAAAGCAUCCCUGGGGGAACCAGGGACUGCUGAGGAAAGGGGUCAGUGACCAUGCCAAGCUUGUCUUCUUGACUAUACCAUAUGAUACCACAGCCAUGAGUCUGUCACAAUCUGCAUCUUCAGAGUGGACCCAGGAUCCUGGUGUCACUAUUCAUAUGGCAACUAGUGAUUCCACACAGAAAAGCAAAUGUAUUCUCAGGACUUGAUGCUACCUUUGACAAAGAGAGGAGGACUUACUCAAAACAGCAAGUGUUCACAUUCCAGCAUUAUUACUUGUGAAUGUGGAAUAAGAAAAAUUUGGCUGUCCCCCCCCAAAAAAAAUUGUAUAUGCACUUCCCUGCCUUAUAAUGAAAUCUUUCAUUUCAGGGCAGUUUAGCAGACAAUUACAAAUCAGGUAUUUGCAUAGCACAUUACAUGAUUUUACAAAACUGACAGUAUUUGAGGAUAGUAAUAGGUUGGCACAGGAACCAGGCCACUGUUGAGCAAUUUCUCUGUUCAAGACCUCGCACUUACAAUUCCUUAAGACCUCCCUGAUAACAACAAAAGUCUAUUCUAUAAGCCCAUUGAAUUUUUAACAAGGGCUAAAUGUCCUGCUCAAACACAUAUGGCUUUACUGUGAUCCUAGAAUUUGUCACCAACUACAAUCUCAUCCUAAUAUGCAGAUCACCUUUAAAAAUUAUGAAAGUUUGUCACUGUAUUUUUGACCAAUAAAGACCACUGAACUCUUGUGCGCUCA
Non-coding RNA from Phalacrocorax carbo (great cormorant), 3894 nucleotides. NCBI's taxonomy places the organism in Eukaryota, Metazoa, Chordata, Aves, Suliformes, Phalacrocoracidae. The record is from RefSeq and is a predicted model, not a curated record.